UACGUAGGGGGCAAGCGUUGUCCGGAUUUAUUGGGCGUAAAGAGCGUGUAGGCGGCCUGGAAGGUCAGCUGUGAAAACUCGAGGCUCAACCUCGAGACGUCGGUUGAAACCACCUGGCUAGAGUCCGGAAGAGGAGAGUGGAAUUCCCGGAGUAGCGGUGAAAUGCGCAGAUAUCGGGAGGAACACCGGUGGCGAAGGCGAUUCUCUGGGCAUGUCCUGACGCUGAGGAGCGAAAGUGUGGGGAGCGAACAGG
This 253-nucleotide ribosomal RNA is filed under the name uncultured bacterium. RNAcentral's name for it is "partial 16S ribosomal RNA". It matches the Rfam family "Bacterial small subunit ribosomal RNA", at positions 524 to 776 of the family's 1533-position model. The record is from RNAcentral.